UUAAUCAAUCGUGCUUCAUUUAAAAGAAAAAGGCCAACGGCCCAAUGUCAAAAAACUAUCAAUAUAUCAUCAUUAAAUAAAGCAAUAGCAUUUGACAAAAAAAAAUAAAGCAAUAGCACCACACAACUAGUGGAAGCAAAAGAUCGAGAAACAAAAAAAAAGCCAAAAAGACACAAUAUGAUUAGGCACCUGGGAGGGAUGGUUUUCCUGCUCUUUUUUAUCAGAAUUUCAGGCAUGUGUGCACUUGUGAGUACCAUCGGGAAGUUUAAAUUACAUAUCUCUACCCAUGUACCUAUCUCUCCAAUGGUGAUUAAUUUAACUAUUUCAGGUUCAUGUAUCAGCUAUCAUUUCUAAUGGACCUUUCAGGGUGAACUCAGCUGGGUCCCCAAUUUACCUGCUCAGUCCAUCAUUUGCAGCUUUAUUGUUGUAGUAUCUUCCUGUGUGUUGAUAUAGCCAUCCAAGCUUUCCACCAAACAGCAUAAGGCUUGUAGAAGCCCAUCAUCUUCAAAAUCGAUCUGUCCACGAUGUCAAAGCUAAUAUGGUAGAAUUUUGGAGUGGCUGAGCUGAAAUAUUUGUGAAUAACUAAAACUUUGUUGUUAUUUUAAUCAUUCACUUUGCUGUUAUUUUUCUGUUUCUAGCAUCGAGUGGGUUCAUUUGAGAUUCUUUCAAACUGGGCUGUUCAUAAUUAAAUCUAAUAGUUGUGAUUUA
Lotus japonicus is the source of this 708-nucleotide long non-coding RNA. RefSeq lists it as uncharacterized. The transcript is spliced from 2 exons. Lineage: Eukaryota; Viridiplantae; Streptophyta; Magnoliopsida; Fabales; Fabaceae. The record is from RefSeq and is a predicted model, not a curated record.